GAUGAACGCUAGCUACAGGCUUAACACAUGCAAGUCGAGGGGAAACGAUAUUGGGAGCUUGCUUCCGAUAGGCGUCGACCGGCGCACGGGUGAGUAACGCGUAUCCAACCUGCCCACCACUUGGGGAUAACCUUGCAAAAGUAAGACUAAUACCCAAUGACGUCCAUAGAAGACAUCUGAAAUGGAUUAAAGAUUUAUCGGUGAUGGAUGGGGAUGCGUCUGAUUAGCUUGUUGGCGGGGUAACGGCCCACCAAGGCGACGAUCAGUAGGGGUUCUGAGAGGAAGGUCCCCCACAUUGGAACUGAGACACGGUCCAAACUCCUACGGGAGGCAGCAGUGAGGAAUAUUGGUCAAUGGGCGAGAGCCUGAACCAGCCAAGUAGCGUGCAGGAUGACGGCCCUAUGGGUUGUAAACUGCUUUUAUAAGGGAAUAAAGUGAGUCUCGUGAGACUUUUUGCAUGUACCUUAUGAAUAAGGACCGGCUAAUUCCGUGCCAGCCGCCGCAGUAA
Molecule: ribosomal RNA, 508 nt
Filed under: uncultured bacterium
Lineage: Bacteria
Description: partial 16S ribosomal RNA
Rfam family: Bacterial small subunit ribosomal RNA
Source: RNAcentral